UUUCCACCCAAUACCAGCCCCAGGUUUCUAUCAUGGAACAGAUACAAUUUGGAUAAUCUUGAAAAAUUCAUGAUCCAAAGAAGUUUCAUAACAGAUGGGGAGCUAAGUAUACCUCAGAUUGAGAAUUCUGCACUGGAAUCCUUUCGGAAAGAGAGUUUGACUGAUCGAUUUGAAGAUGAAGAUUAUGACAAUAACCACCACACUGAGGUAGAAGAACCUAAUAUGUCUUCAAGAAAACACGUGCUGCAGCUUGUUUUGAACAAUCCCCCACAG
Long non-coding RNA from Daucus carota subsp. sativus, 273 nucleotides. RefSeq lists it as uncharacterized. The transcript is spliced from 3 exons. The record is from RefSeq and is a predicted model, not a curated record. Lineage: Eukaryota; Viridiplantae; Streptophyta; Magnoliopsida; Apiales; Apiaceae.